GGGGGGGGGGGGGGGGCUUUAACUUGCACGUCGAACGGACUCAUAUUGAAACCUAGUGAUUUAUGAGUUAGUGGCGCCCUAAAAGAGUACGCGUGGAUAACCUGCCGUAUACCGGGGCCUAACACUUAGAAAUAGGUGCUAAUACCGCAUAAGCGCACGGCUCCGCAUGGGGCAGUGUGAAAAACUCCGGUGCUAUACGAUGGAUCCGCGUCUGAUUAGCUAGUUGGCGGGGUAACGGCCCACCAAGGCAGCGAUCAGUAGCCGGCCUGAGAGGGUGGACGGCCACAUUGGGACUGAGACACGGCCCAAACUCCUACGGGAGGCAGCAGUGGGGAAUAUUGCACAAUGGGGGAAACCCUGAUGCAGCGACGCCGCGUGAGUGAAGAAGUAUCUCGGUACGUAAAGCUCUAUCAGCAGGGAAGAAAAUGACGGUACCUGACUAAGAAGCCCCGGCUAACUACGUGCCAGCAGCCGCGGUAAUACGUAGGGGGCAAGCGUUAUCCGGAUUUACUGGGUGUAAAGGGAGCGUAGACGGCAGCACAAGUCUGGAGUGAAAUCCCGGGGCUUAACCCCGGAACUGCUUUGGAAACCGUGCGGCUGGAGUGCAGGAGGGGUAAGCGGAAUUCCUAGUGUAGCGGUGAAAUGCGUAGAUAUUAGGAGGAACACCGGUGGCGAAGGCGGCUUACUGGACUGUAACUGACGUUGAGGCUCGAAAGCGUGGGGAGCAAACAGGAUUAGAUACCCUGGUAGUCCACGCCCGUAAACGAAGAAUACUAGGUGUCGGGGGAUCAAGGUCCUCCGGUGCCGGCGCCAACGCCUUUAUUAAUCCACCUGGGGAGUAAGUUCGCAA
RNAcentral lists this ribosomal RNA (850 nucleotides) under uncultured bacterium. Its description in RNAcentral is "bacterial SSU rRNA". It matches the Rfam family "Bacterial small subunit ribosomal RNA", at positions 31 to 891 of the family's 1533-position model. The record is from RNAcentral.